AACGCGAAGAACCUUACCUAGGCUUGACAUGCACGGAUUAACCUUUCGAAAGAUUGGCCACGCCCUUUGGGUGGAACGUGCACAGGUGCUGCAUGGCUGUCGUCAGCUCGUGCUGUGAAGUGUCGGGUUAAGUCCCUUAACGAGCGCAACCCCUAUCGUUAGUUACUAACGCGUCAUGGCGAGGACUCUAACGAGACUGCCGGUGUCAAACCGGAGGAAGGCGGGGAUGACGUCAAGUCCUCAUGGCCCUUACGCCUAGGGCUGCAAACGUGCUACAAUGGCACGGACAGAGCGACGCGAGGCCGCAAGGCGGAGCAAAUCGCAAAAACCGUGCCCCAGUUCGGAUUUGUAGGCUGAAAUUCGCCUGCAUGAAGCCGGAGUCGCUAGUAAUCGGAGAUCAGCUACGCUCCGGUGAAUACGUUCCCGGGCCUUGUACACACCGAUCGAAUUCCC
Molecule: ribosomal RNA, 453 nt
Filed under: uncultured bacterium
Lineage: Bacteria
Description: bacterial SSU rRNA
Rfam family: Bacterial small subunit ribosomal RNA
Source: RNAcentral